This 440-nucleotide ribosomal RNA is filed under the name uncultured bacterium. Its description in RNAcentral is "partial 16S ribosomal RNA". It matches the Rfam family "Bacterial small subunit ribosomal RNA", at positions 338 to 795 of the family's 1533-position model. The record is from RNAcentral.
CCUACGGGGGGCAGCAGUAGGGAAUAUUGCUCAAUGGGGGAAACCCUGCAGCAGCAACGCCGCGUGGAGGAUGAAGGUUUUCGGAUUUUAAACUCCUUUUGUUAGAGAAGAUAAUGACGGUAUCUAACGAAUAAGCACCGUCUAACUCCGUGCCAGCAGCCGCGGUAAUACGGAGGGUGCAAGCGUUACUCGGAAUCACUGGGCGUAAAGGGUGCGUAGGCGGGAUAGCAAGUCAGAUGUGAAAUCCUAUGGCUUAACCAUAGAACUGCAUUUGAAACUGUUAUUCUAGAGUAUGGGAGAGGUAGGUGGAAUUCUUGGUGUAGGGGUAAAAUCCGUAGAGAUCAAGAGGAAUACUCAUUGCGAAGGCGACCUGCUAGAACAUAACUGACGCUGAUGCGCGAAAGCGUGGGGAGCAAACAGGAUUAGAUACCCUUGUAGUC